Non-coding RNA from Pelobates cultripes (western spadefoot toad), 336 nucleotides. The record is from the annotation of a GenBank genome assembly. NCBI's taxonomy places the organism in Eukaryota, Metazoa, Chordata, Amphibia, Anura, Pelobatidae.
CAUUUAUGGAGACACUAUGUGUUUGUUUAAAUGGUAUCUAGUGUGUUCAUAGGGGAUCCUGAGUGUGUAUGUCAGAAAUGUAGUGUGUGUGUAAGUGGUGCAGCGUCUGUGUGUAGGGAAUCUAGUGUGUGUUUGAAGGACUCAGGAGUGCGUAUAGGAGAUCUAGUGAGUGUGUGAGUGGUGCAGUGUGUUUGGGGGGUGCUGUGUGUGUGAGGGGUGUAGUGUGCAUUUGUGAGGAGUAUAGUGUGUGUGGGAGGGUGGUGUGUGUGGGGGGGGUGCAGUAUGUGUGUGUGAGGGUGCUGUGUGUGAGGCCGCUGUGUGUUAGGGCACUGUGUG